RNAcentral lists this ribosomal RNA (446 nucleotides) under uncultured bacterium. RNAcentral describes it as "bacterial SSU rRNA". It matches the Rfam family "Bacterial small subunit ribosomal RNA", at positions 217 to 662 of the family's 1533-position model. The record is from RNAcentral.
GGUAUGGGAUGAGCUUGCGUCCGAUUAGCUAGUUGGCGGGGCAACGGCCCACCAAGGCGACGAUCGGUAGCCGGCCUGAGAGGGUGAUCGGCCACAUUGGGACUGAGAUACGGCCCAGACUCCUACGGGAGGCAGCAGUAGGGAAUAUUGCACAAUGGGGGAAACCCUGACGCAGCAACGCCACGUGUGGGAAGAAGCAUUUCGGUGUGUAAACCACUGUCAUGAGGGAAUAAGGCCCGUUUUCGGACGGGAUUGAAUGUACCUUGAGAGGAAGCACCGGCAAACUUCGUGCCAGCAGCCGCGGUAAUACGAGGGGUGCAAGCGUUGUUCGGAAUUACUGGGCGUAAAGGGAGCGUAGGCGGAGAUUCAAGCGGAUUGUACAAUCCCGGGGCCCAACCCCGGCUCUGCAGUCCGAACUGGAUUUCUUGGAUAGUUCAGGGGCAGGC